This 217-nucleotide long non-coding RNA is filed under the name Panax ginseng (ginseng). RNAcentral describes it as "long non-coding RNA (PGIN_LNC003925)". The record is from RNAcentral. Lineage: Eukaryota; Viridiplantae; Streptophyta; Magnoliopsida; Apiales; Araliaceae.
GGUUUUCUAAAAAUUAAUUUUAUAAUUAGGGUUUUCUAAAGAUUAGGGUUUCUAGAUUUUUAAUUAGGGUUUACCUAAUUAAUACAUUUAAUACACGACAUAAAUUAUAUAAUACUCUUAUAAAACAAUCUUGCACUCUAAUUUGGAUCUCAAAUUAGGGUUUAACAUUAUUACUAGGGUUUGGUCAUAAUACACCGUAAUUGACCAACCAUUAUCA